CCUACGGGUGGCAGCAGUGGGGAAUAUUGGACAAUGGGGGGAACCCUGAUCCAGCGACGCCGCGUGAGUGAAGAAGUAUUUCGGUAUGUAAAGCUCUAUCAGCAGGGAAGAAAAUGACGGUACCUGACUAAGAAGCCCCGUCUAACUACGUGCCAGCAGCCGCGGUAAUACGGAGGGGGCAAGAGUUAUCCGGAUUUACUGGGUGUAAAGGGAGCGUAGACGGUGCAGCAAGUCUGUUGUGAAAGGUCGGGGCCCAACCCCGGGACUGCAGUGGAAACUGGUGAACUGGAGUACAGGAGAGGUAGGCGGAAUGCGUAGUGUAGCGGUGAAAUGCGUAGAUAUUAGGAAGAACACCGGUGGCGAAGGCAGCUUACUGGACUGUAACUGACGUUGAGGCUCGAAAGCGUGGGGAGCAAACAGGAUUAGAUACCCCUGUAGUC
RNAcentral lists this ribosomal RNA (440 nucleotides) under uncultured bacterium. Its description in RNAcentral is "partial 16S ribosomal RNA". It matches the Rfam family "Bacterial small subunit ribosomal RNA", at positions 338 to 795 of the family's 1533-position model. The record is from RNAcentral.